GAUGAACGCUAGCGGCAGGCUUAACACAUGCAAGUCGAGGGGUAGAGGAAGCUUGCUUCCUUGAGACCGGCGCACGGGUGCGUAACGCGUAUGCAAUCUACCUUAUACAGGGGGAUAGCCCAGAGAAAUUUGGAUUAAUACCCCAUAGUAUAAUUGAAUGGCAUCAUUUAAUUAUUAAAGUUCCAACGGUAUAAGAUGAGCAUGCGUCCCAUUAGCUAGUUGGUGUGGUAACGGCACACCAAGGCGACGAUGGGUAGGGGUCCUGAGAGGGAGAUCCCCCACACUGGUACUGAGACACGGACCAGACUCCUACGGGAGGCAGCAGUGAGGAAUAUUGGUCAAUGGGCGCAAGCCUGAACCAGCCAUGCCGCGUGCAGGAUGACGGUCCUAUGGAUUGUAAACUGCUUUUGUACAGGAAGAAACACUCCCUCGUGAGGGAGCUUGACGGUACUGUAAGAAUAAGGAUCGGCUAACUCCGUGCCAGCAGCCGCGGUAAUC
This 498-nucleotide ribosomal RNA is filed under the name uncultured bacterium. RNAcentral describes it as "bacterial SSU rRNA". It matches the Rfam family "Bacterial small subunit ribosomal RNA", at positions 28 to 525 of the family's 1533-position model. The record is from RNAcentral.